Pan paniscus (pygmy chimpanzee) is the source of this 99-nucleotide unclassified non-coding RNA. It matches the Rfam family "Y RNA". Rfam says of the family: Y RNAs are components of the Ro ribonucleoprotein particle (Ro RNP), in association with Ro60 and La proteins. The Y RNAs and Ro60 and La proteins are well conserved, but the function of the Ro RNP is not known. Lineage: Eukaryota; Metazoa; Chordata; Mammalia; Primates; Hominidae. The record is from Ensembl.
GGCUGGUCCAGGUGCAGUGGUGUUUACAGCUAAUUGAUCACAGCCAGUUACAGAUUUCUUUGUUCCUCCACUCCCACUGCUUCACUUGACUAGCCUAAA